RNAcentral lists this unclassified non-coding RNA (80 nucleotides) under Pocillopora damicornis (cauliflower coral). RNAcentral describes it as "qRFP-like peptide receptor, transcript variant X1". Lineage: Eukaryota; Metazoa; Cnidaria; Anthozoa; Scleractinia; Pocilloporidae. The record is from RNAcentral.
GGAAUCAAUUUUGCUUAAACGCGACGAGCUCUAAAUCGUAGAAAUUAAGGCCUCAGCAACAUUUGCAUGAUCUGAGCGGU